This 276-nucleotide long non-coding RNA is filed under the name Vicia faba (fava bean). Lineage: Eukaryota; Viridiplantae; Streptophyta; Magnoliopsida; Fabales; Fabaceae. The record is from RNAcentral.
AUGGAAACAAGCAAAAUUGAAUUAUGGGCCAAAAGAAUGAUGCAAACAAGAUCGACGGACUUACCAAACGUGAGCUUCAGUGGUGGAUUUUCGAGGCAGCAGUGGCAUAGCAGAUUUUUGGAGUGCAGAUUUUGGACAGUUUUGGUGCAGAUUUUGCAGCAGGUUUUUGGCAAGUUUGUGGGCAGAUUUUGCAGCAGGUUUUUUGGCAAGUUUGUGGGCAAAUUUUGCAGCAAGACAGUAGCAGGGUGCAGGGCUGGUUGGUUUGGCUUAGCAUGA